This 495-nucleotide ribosomal RNA is filed under the name uncultured bacterium. Its description in RNAcentral is "partial 16S ribosomal RNA". It matches the Rfam family "Bacterial small subunit ribosomal RNA", at positions 28 to 507 of the family's 1533-position model. The record is from RNAcentral.
GACGAACGCUGGCGGCGUGCCUAAUACAUGCAAGAAGAACGCUGAAGGAGGAGCUUGCUCUUCUGGAUGAGUUGCGAACGGGUGAGUAACGCGUAGGUAACCUGCCUGGUAGCGGGGGAUAACUAUUGGAAACGAUAGCUAAUACCGCAUAACAGUAGAUGUUGCAUGACAUUUGCUUAAAAGGUGCAAUUGCACCACUACCAGAUGGACCUGCGUUGUAUUAGCUAGUUGGUGGGGUAACGGCUCACCAAGGCGACGAUACAUAGCCGACCUGAGAGGGUGAUCGGCCACACUGGGACUGAGACACGGCCCAGACUCCUACGGGAGGCAGCAGUAGGGAAUCUUCGGCAAUGGACGGAAGUCUGACCGAGCAACGCCGCGUGAGUGAAGAAGGUUUUCGGAUCGUAAAGCUCUGUUGUAAGAGAAGAACGAGUGUGAGAGUGGAAAGUUCACACUGUGACGGUAUCUGACCAGAAAGGGACGGCUAACUACGUG